UAUUUUAUAAAAAACACAGUAACUUUCCACAGRCAGGGGUUUCAGUCAGACCCAGGUACGAGUCCAGCCCAUCUGACCCGUCAGAACCGGCAGACUGAACCUGUCCAUCCGAGCCUUGUUCAGAAUCUACGGAGCACUGAAGAUCCAGAGCAGCUUUCGAGAUGGAGGCUUUUCAGCUUGAUCCAUUCCCCGGCACGUCACCUGACCCGACCGACUCAACCCGCCCGAACCAACCGUUACCUACACAGACAGACCUGGUCCGACCGAACCCUAUCCACACGUGUAGAGUACCAGCUCUCCGAGUGAGAAGGAGGACUCUCCGACGCAGAGCGGGCCCGUGCGGGUCUCUGUCAAGAAGAAGAAGAAGAACUGGAACAAGAAAUCAUUCAACCACCAUAGAUGAAUUGAAAAGUCACUGCCUUCUGACCAUCCUGCGUUUAACUGAACUCUGCAUAAGGUUGUUUGAAUAUUAGCUGAAAAAAUGUCUAGUUUGUCAAAUCAUGAUCAUACUGAAAUAAAUUGUUUUCAUGCGUUAGAACAGGCAUUACAAAAUCUUAUUCAGAAMUCUYCGUMAACCUCAGAAGCUGGUGACAUUUCCKUUCUGAGUCAAUCAUUACAAAAUGUUUUAAACAACGCUGAGCAGAAUUCACCCCCAGGUUCACCAAAUCAGACAGAAAGUCUAAUCCAAGCAUUACRUAACGAAAUUGCGGGACAGCAUCAACAACAACAACAACAACAGUCUGAUCGGGACCACUUCGAAACUCCUCAAAUUCACAGCACAAAUCCGGACCAGACUCCAAUCGGUCUACUCGUUAACGCUUCGAAUAAUUCAUUAUCUGAACUUAGAAACGCUCACGUCAGACAACAGUCUGAUCAGGAAAACGCUGCUGCUGCUGAUGAAAGUGCUCAAAAUAGCACACCCGACAACGGGCCAAUCAACGCACCCUGAUUUAUUUAGUAUUUUAGAUGAUGCGUUAUUAGCAUUACGAAUCGCGCGCUCCCCAGAACAAAACCGUGAACAAGACYCAGGCAUCCACCUGCAAAUCACCCCCACAGUUCAGUAUGAUGCUGAGGCGUCAUCUCCCGAAUCAACGCAACC
Austrofundulus limnaeus is the source of this 1099-nucleotide long non-coding RNA. RefSeq lists it as uncharacterized. Lineage: Eukaryota; Metazoa; Chordata; Actinopteri; Cyprinodontiformes; Rivulidae. The transcript has 3 exons. The record is from RefSeq and is a predicted model, not a curated record.